This 328-nucleotide long non-coding RNA is filed under the name Mytilus galloprovincialis (Mediterranean mussel). Lineage: Eukaryota; Metazoa; Mollusca; Bivalvia; Mytilida; Mytilidae. The record is from RNAcentral.
AUCGGUCAGUGUUGUUGUGAAAAUAUGGCAGGUAAUUAAAGUUCGUGUUUUGAAGCCGAAGUUUAACGAUUGUCACCCGUUUGUCAACAAUCGACAAAAAAUCAACAAAAAAGCAUGGAAAUUGAGCACGUGCUUAACAUGUAAAUUUAGAUAAUAGUUUAUUUUAAGGACAUCCAUGCGUAUUGUGAUCACCGGAUUUUUACGAGAUGGGUCACACUGAGGUCACUUUGCAUACGGAAAAUAUGUCGGGGGAAUUGCUUCCUGGAAGGAAGGAAGCAAUUAGAAUAAAGUAAACUUCUUCUAAUUAGGAAUAAAUUAAAGAAUUUUC